GGCCUUUUCGUUUACUAGAUUGACUUGCACAUGGUUUAAAAUUUCCAUUUCUGAUGCAUGUUGAGCCAUUGGAUAGAAUGCAACUGACACAUAGGCCAGGGUUGCCCAAGAAUGAUGAGGGAGAUGAGUUAAGCAAAUCCAUCAUUGUGUCUGGUAUUGGACCUGUGAAGAGAUUGUUUGAGACAUUUACCAGGACAAAUGUAUUGAUUUUAUCAAGAACUUUUAAAGUUCCUGUCAGAUUGUUGUUAGAUAUAUCAAGUCGCUCUAGCUUGAUCAAAUUCCCCAACCCUGAAGGAAUUGCACCAGUCAAUCCAUUACUGCUGAGAUUCAAGGC
RNAcentral lists this unclassified non-coding RNA (334 nucleotides) under Hevea brasiliensis (rubber tree). The record is from RNAcentral. Lineage: Eukaryota; Viridiplantae; Streptophyta; Magnoliopsida; Malpighiales; Euphorbiaceae.